This 611-nucleotide ribosomal RNA is filed under the name Proteus mirabilis. RNAcentral's name for it is "bacterial LSU rRNA". It matches the Rfam family "Bacterial large subunit ribosomal RNA", at positions 1 to 586 of the family's 2925-position model. Lineage: Bacteria; Pseudomonadati; Pseudomonadota; Gammaproteobacteria; Enterobacterales; Morganellaceae. The record is from RNAcentral.
GGGUUGUGAGGUUAAGCGAAUAAGCGUACACGGUGGAUGCCUAGGCAAUCAGAGGCGAUGAAGGACGUGCUAAUCUGCGAAAAGCGUCGGUAAGGUGAUAUGAACCGUUAUACCCGACGAUAUCCGAAUGGGGAAACCCAGUAUCCAAUGGAUACUAUCAUUAACUGAAUCCAUAGGUUAAUGAGGCGAACCGGGAGAACUGAAACAUCUCAGUACCCCGAGGAAAAGAAAUCAACCGAGAUUCCCCUAGUAGCGGCGAGCGAACGGGGAGCAGCCCAGAGUCUUAAUCAAUGGCAGUGUCAGGAGAACGGUCUGGAAAGUCCGGCAGUAAAGGGUGAUAGCCCCGUAUCUGAAGAUGCUGUUAUUGUGAACUCGACGAGUAGGGCGGGACACGUGUUAUCCUGUCUGAAUAUGGGGGGACCAUCCUCCAAGGCUAAAUACUCCUGAUUGACCGAUAGUGAACCAGUACCGUGAGGGAAAGGCGAAAAGAACCCCGGCGAGGGGAGUGAAAAAGAACCUGAAACCGUGUACGUACAAGCAGUAGGAGCCCCAUCACUCAAGUGCCUCGCACUGAGUGAUGCAAUAACAUCACCGAAAAUAGCGUAGCAUUU